This 544-nucleotide ribosomal RNA is filed under the name uncultured Glomus. RNAcentral's name for it is "SSU rRNA". It matches the Rfam family "Eukaryotic small subunit ribosomal RNA", at positions 553 to 1099 of the family's 1831-position model. The record is from RNAcentral. Lineage: Eukaryota; Fungi; Glomeromycota; Glomeromycetes; Glomerales; Glomeraceae.
GGGCAAGUCUGGUGCCCGCAGCCGCGGUAAUUCCAGCUCCAAUAGCGUAUAUUAAAGUUGUUGCAGUUAAAAAGCUCGUAGUUGAAUUUCGAGAUCGGCUUACCGGUCGUGCUUUUGUACGUACUGGUAUAAUCGGUUUCUCCUUUCUGACGAACUUUAAUGCCAUUAAUUUGGUGUUUUAGGGAAUCAGGACUGUUACUUUGAAAAAAUUAGAGUGUUUAAAGCAGGCUCACGCUUGAAUACAUUGGCAUGGAAUAACGGAAUAGGACGUUUGAUUCUAUUUUGUUGGUUUCUAGGAUCGACGUAAUGAUUAAUAGGGAUAGUUGGGGGCAUUAGUAUUCAAUUGUCAGAGGUGAAAUUCUUGGAUUUAUUGAAGACUAACUACUGCGAAAGCAUUUGCCAAGGAUGUUUUCAUUAAUCAAGAACGAAAGUUAGGGGAUCGAAGACGAUCAGAUACCGUCGUAGUCUUAACCAUAAACUAUGCCGACUAGGGAUCGGAUGAUGUUAAUUUUUUAAUGACUCAUUCGGCGCCUUACGGGAAACA